GGAAGGUUAUUUUUAAUUUUAUUUUCAUUUUAUUAUAUUUUUUGACAAUAUUUAUUUAGAGGGGAAGUACACAACUCAACAUAGUAGUACAGUAGACGGAGGAGUACGUUUACUACGGUUCUUCACUAUUCGUCGUCCGCGCUCCCACUAUCUAGUCGCUCUCGGCUUGCGGCGAGCUUAGAGUCGAGGCACCUGACCAUUUUUCCGCCGCGCAAACUCCUCUAAGCCGCCCCGGGACCACGGCCCUUCUACUUGUUCCUGUCCAGGGCCUAGAGCCGCCUACCGCCGCCGCCGCUGCCGGACGGCGGCGUCGGGAGCGCGGCGAGCAGCUGAGGGGGCGGCCUCAUGCUGUAGUCGGCGUACGGCCUGAAGGGGUGGUCCUUGGGGCCGGUGGCCGCGCGCGUGAGGCUCUAGGAGUCGGAGGGGCUGCUGGAGCUGGAAACGCGCGGGCCCCCGCCGCUGCCCGGGAGCGACAGCCUGCUCUUGCUGCUCCUCGAGAAGAGGUACAAGGAGCUGCACCUGUUCGAGUUGAGCAGCACGCCCGGCAGCAGCCUGGUCCGCCUCAGCAGCAGUCGGCGACGACGGCCGCCCCCGCUCCGCCGGUCCCGCCCGGUGCACUACUCCGGCUUCGUGGUCGUGUCGGUCAGGUACCUGCUCAGCUACAGCUAGUUCCGGCUCCUGGACCACCCCCGCGGCCCCUACCUCCCCUACAGGUGACACCUCCGGUUCUUCCGCCACAGGCGCCGCUUCGACCGGCUCGAACGAGAACAGCUGGGGUUCUCCCGUUUUUCCUAAACCCGAUUAUCUGUUAGACGCCGUUCUAGCUUCCUUUCCUUUUACGCGAUAUAACCACUUGAACUCGCGUUCCACGUUUGGGACGUCUGUCUUCGUUGUUGUAACAGUCGGGUUAACAGUAACGAUGUCUCUCUAUGGUCACCCGAUUGUUCACUCUUAUCACUUAACUUCUAUGCAGACGUCUUGUACCUCGUCGUUCAGGUGGAUGUUCUACGAGAUUUACUGUGGGACUUUUGCCUCCAAGUCGCCGACUUCCACCGUUGUCCGGUCUACCCGUUGCCACCCCCCUACGACUACUUGAUGCCGCCGUACAGUGUCCGCGGCGUGGUUAAGCCUUCGUUGGUCGUCUACAAGGUGUUGUCGGUCAGGUACGUCAGAGACGAUCGCUGCGUGGUCGACGUUGUCGAGGUCGAGGUGGUCGUCGGGGUCGUCGUCGUCGUCGGCUACGCGGGAGUCGUGGUGGUGGUGGUCGUCGUCGUCGGUGACGUGGGCGACGUCCGUGUCGACAAGGUCGUCCGCCGCGCGCUGGAGUUCUACUUUCCCGGCUACACCCCGCUACCCUUCAGUAGCCCUCCGCCACCGUAGACUUUGUUGAUCCAGGCUUCUACUACUACUACUACGCGCCCACAUCACCGAAACCACAACCGAAAAAAUCAAAGCCAACUUGUCAACCCUACUAGCUAGUGUCCACAACUGUCACAGCACCCGCCGCAAACAGACAUCAACAACUUCCUUCAGUGAAACCCUUAAGAUCCAACUUGGAAAACCAAAACCAGGCCAUCUCCUACGUAACAACGCAGGUCAAUACCCGUAUGAGGUACAACAACAACAACAACAACAGCAACAACAACAAUUGAAUUUGAGUCCGUGACUACCCAAACGGGCAACCCGUACAAUCUUUACUUGUCUGAUUAACGUUCUGACGAUCUCACGACCUUGGUAAAAUAAAC
Molecule: ribosomal RNA, 1745 nt
Filed under: Triticum aestivum (bread wheat)
Lineage: Eukaryota; Viridiplantae; Streptophyta; Magnoliopsida; Poales; Poaceae
Description: partial small subunit ribosomal RNA
Source: RNAcentral